Molecule: ribosomal RNA, 433 nt
Filed under: uncultured bacterium
Lineage: Bacteria
Description: partial 16S ribosomal RNA
Rfam family: Bacterial small subunit ribosomal RNA
Source: RNAcentral
AACGAACGCUGGCGGCAUGCCUAACACAUGCAAGUCGAACGAGACCUUCGGGUCUAGUGGCGCACGGGUGCGUAACGCGUGGGAACCUGCCCUUAGGUUCGGAAUAACUCCCCGAAAGGGGUGCUAAUACCGGAUAAUGUCUUCGGACCAAAGAUUUAUCGCCUUUGGAUGGGCCCGCGUUGGAUUAGCUAGUUGGUAGGGUAAAAGCCUACCAAGGCGACGAUCCAUAGCUGGUCUGAGAGGAUGAUCAGCCACACUGGGACUGAGACACGGCCCAGACUCCUACGGGAGGCAGCAGUAGGGAAUAUUGGACAAUGGGCGAAAGCCUGAUCCAGCAAUGCCGCGGGAGUGAUGAAGGCCUUAGGGUUGUAAAGCUCUUUUACCCGGGAUGAUAAUGACAGUACCGGGAGAAUAAGCGCCGGCUAACUCCGUG